Molecule: long non-coding RNA, 395 nt
Organism: Tachyglossus aculeatus (Australian echidna)
Lineage: Eukaryota; Metazoa; Chordata; Mammalia; Monotremata; Tachyglossidae
Exons: 5
Source: RefSeq, a predicted model, not a curated record
CAAUCACCAGCAUUUUGGACAGAAGAUCCCGGGCUUGGCUGGCUGAAACCACAACAAGCAGAGAAACAAAAUCAGUCCAAGGCAGAAAGUUUGGCUGAGAGAACUGUGCUCUUGGAGAACUGGUCAAUGGGCAGCCCACAAAGACAUCUCAGAGAGGUAAAGUACAAACCUCUUAGUGUUGGCUUCAAGUUUUCCUCCAAAUCUCCUCAUCUUAUAUCUCAUCACCUCCUUGACUCAAGCACUUAGAAGAGUGCUCUGCACACAAAUCAACCUCAUCCGAACUGUAAAUGAACGCCAGACUGUAUGCUAAUUCGAAAAGCUACCCUCACUGAAUGACAGAAGAAGACAUGCAUCACUCCUGAAAAAGAAAAAAAGAGGAAAUGGAGGAUUGUGGG